UCGGCUCGUGGAUGGAUCACUCGGCUCGUGUGUUGAUGAAGUACGCAGCUAGCUGCGAGAACUAAAGUGAAUUGCAGGACACAUUGAUCAGCAACACUGAACGCACCUUGCGGCCCAAGGUUCCUCCUGGGGCUACGCCUGUCUGAGGGUUG
Molecule: ribosomal RNA, 152 nt
Organism: Oncorhynchus tshawytscha (Chinook salmon)
Lineage: Eukaryota; Metazoa; Chordata; Actinopteri; Salmoniformes; Salmonidae
Rfam family: 5.8S ribosomal RNA
About the family: 5.8S ribosomal RNA (5.8S rRNA) is a component of the large subunit of the eukaryotic ribosome. It is transcribed by RNA polymerase I as part of the 45S precursor that also contains 18S and 28S rRNA.
Source: Ensembl